CCUACGGGAGGCUGCAGUGGGGAAUAUUGCACAAUGGGGGAAACCCUGAUGCAGCGACGCCGCGUGAGUGAAGAAGGAAUUCGGUAUGUAAAGCUCUAUCAGCAGGGAAGAAAAUGACGGUAACUGAGUAAGAAGACCCGGCUAACUACGUGCCAGCAGCCGCGGUAAUACGUAGGGGGCAAGCGUUAUCCGGAUUUACUGGGGGUAAAGGGAGCGUAGACGGCAGGGCAAGUCUGGGGUGAAAGGCGGGGGGUCAACCCCCGGACUGCUCUGGAAACUGUACGGCUGGAGUGCAGGGGAGGUAAGUGGAAUUCCUCGUGUAGCGGUGAAAUGCGUAGAUAUUAGGAGGAACACCAGUGGCGAAGGCGGCUUACUGGACUGUAACUGACGUUGAGGCUCGAAAGCGUGGGGAGCAAACAGGAUUAGAUACCCUGGUAGUC
Molecule: ribosomal RNA, 440 nt
Filed under: uncultured bacterium
Lineage: Bacteria
Description: partial 16S ribosomal RNA
Rfam family: Bacterial small subunit ribosomal RNA
Source: RNAcentral